UCCCUGGGGGUGGCGAGGGCGGGUGUCCAGCGCCAAUCGGGCCCUUGAACCCCCACCCCGCGGCCCGUCCUUCGUAUCCUAUUGUUGCCGGACACGGCCUGACGACGGGAGUCCAGCAACCCCGCCGGCCACUGCGCUAAUGACAGGGCUGCCUCGGGCGUCUCGGCCUUGGACUCUGCGUGGCCUCGGCUCGGCCCCCACUUCCUGCAGAGGUGCAGGCUCCGCCCGCCGCAGGGGGCAGGAAGGGGGGUCGCGCGGGGACCCUCCCCCGGCUGGGAAGGGGCAGGAAAGGGGCGGGGCGCGCGAAGAAUGUGCGGAAGCGCCUGUUUACCCGGGGGCGGGGCAGACUCCGCAGCCCUGCCCCUGGUCUCCCCCCAAAGUGGACCAGGAGCUCCGCGCCCGCACCCAGUAAGGCCGCUGGAGGUCACCUGGCGGGGCGGGGUGCACGCUUUGAGCCCAGCGGAGCUGCCCGACAGGCCCGGCCGGCGCGGGUUUGGCUCCUGCGACCCGCCCGCUCCGGCUCCCUCCUACCUUCUCUUCCCUACCUUCCCUGCACACCCUUCUCCCAGCCUGAAUCCACAGCCAUGACUCGUCACUCGCCUGCUGCUAAUAUCCCCAGCACUCUGUGCUUCUUCCUACCUGGCAGAAGCCAACCCUGGACAACCUGACUCCCUGACUUCUCUGCACCUGCACACAGGCUGGCAGGAGCUGCCAGAGGCCUUGGCCCAGCAGCCGAGCUGGAACUACAGAGCAAUUCUCAACCUCGGCCGGGCUCUCAUUUCCCGCUGGAGAAAUCCUAGUCAACUCUCUCCCUUCUCAUAGGAGUGUUUCAGAUGGUUCUCCACAGGCCUCAAACAAAUGCAAGUCACUCCCACAUAAAAAAUGAAAACAACCCUGGCAACUACCCAAAUGGCCAUCAGUUGAUAACGGAAUGCUCUACAACAAAAAGAAUAAACUACAUGCAACAAUAUGGAUGAAUCUUACAGACAUGAUGUGAUGCUGAGUGAAAGAAGCAAGACCACGAGAGAGGAUAUAGGUAUGAUUCCUCUGAUGCGAAGUUCAGAAAUGGGCCAAACUCAUCUAUGGUUAUAGAAAUCAGAAUAGUAGUUACCCUUGAGAAUAGUAGUUACCCUUGAGGGCUUCCAGGGAGGUGCUGAUGUUCAAUUUCCUAAUCUGGGUUCUAUUUCCUAAUCCUAUGUAGUUGUGUUCCCUUGUGAAAAUGUAUCAAGCUGUACCACUGAAUGUGCCCGUUCUGUAUGCAUAUUAUAUUUCAAAUCAAGCUGUCUUUAAAUAAAUAACUACCCAAAGAAAUGA
Myotis myotis is the source of this 1314-nucleotide long non-coding RNA. RefSeq lists it as uncharacterized. The transcript is spliced from 2 exons. The record is from RefSeq and is a predicted model, not a curated record. Lineage: Eukaryota; Metazoa; Chordata; Mammalia; Chiroptera; Vespertilionidae.